RNAcentral lists this ribosomal RNA (1372 nucleotides) under uncultured bacterium. Its description in RNAcentral is "bacterial SSU rRNA". It matches the Rfam family "Bacterial small subunit ribosomal RNA", at positions 28 to 1381 of the family's 1533-position model. The record is from RNAcentral.
GAUAAACGCUGGCGGCGUGCCUAAUACAUGCAAGUCGAGCGAACGGACGAGAAGCUUGCUUCUCUGAUGUUAGCGGCGGACGGGUGAGUAACACGUGGAUAACCUACCUAUAAGACUGGGAUAACUUCGGGAAACCGGAGCUAAUACCGGAUAAUAUUUUGAACCGCAUGGUUCAAAAGUGAAAGACGGUCUUGCUGUCACUUAUAGAUGGAUCCGCGCUGCAUUAGCUAGUUGGUAAGGUAACGGCUUACCAAGGCAACGAUGCAUAGCCGACCUGAGAGGGUGAUCGGCCACACUGGAACUGAGACACGGUCCAGACUCCUACGGGAGGCAGCAGUAGGGAAUCUUCCGCAAUGGGCGAAAGCCUGACGGAGCAACGCCGCGUGAGUGAUGAAGGUCUUCGGAUCGUAAAACUCUGUUAUUAGGGAAGAACAUAUGUGUAAGUAACUGUGCACAUCUUGACGGUACCUAAUCAGAAAGCCACGGCUAACUACGUGCCAGCAGCCGCGGUAAUACGUAGGUGGCAAGCGUUAUCCGGAAUUAUUGGGCGUAAAGCGCGCGUAGGCGGUUUUUUAAGUCUGAUGUGAAAGCCCACGGCUCAACCGUGGAGGGUCAUUGGAAACUGGAAAACUUGAGUGCAGAAGAGGAAAGUGGAAUUCCAUGUGUAGCGGUGAAAUGCGCAGAGAUAUGGAGGAACACCAGUGGCGAAGGCGACUUUCUGGUCUGUAACUGACGCUGAUGUGCGAAAGCGUGGGGAUCAAACAGGAUUAGAUACCCUGGUAGUCCACGCCGUAAACGAUGAGUGCUAAGUGUUAGGGGGUUUCCGCCCCUUAGUGCUGCAGCUAACGCAUUAAGCACUCCGCCUGGGGAGUACGACCGCAAGGUUGAAACUCAAAGGAAUUGACGGGGACCCGCACAAGCGGUGGAGCAUGUGGUUUAAUUCGAAGCAACGCGAAGAACCUUACCAAAUCUUGACAUCCUUUGACAACUCUAGAGAUAGAGCUUUCCCCUUCGGGGGACAAAGUGACAGGUGGUGCAUGGUUGUCGUCAGCUCGUGUCGUGAGAUGUUGGGUUAAGUCCCGCAACGAGCGCAACCCUUAAGCUUAGUUGCCAUCAUUAAGUUGGGCACUCUAAGUUGACUGCCGGUGACAAACCGGAGGAAGGUGGGGAUGACGUCAAAUCAUCAUGCCCCUUAUGAUUUGGGCUACACACGUGCUACAAUGGACAAUACAAAGGGCAGCGAAACCGCGAGGUCAAGCAAAUCCCAUAAAGUUGUUCUCAGUUCGGAUUGUAGUCUGCAACUCGACUACAUGAAGCUGGAAUCGCUAGUAAUCGUAGAUCAGCAUGCUACGGUGAAUACGUUCCCGGGUCU